GGACACUAGUGGAGACUCUGGAGAGGAACUCGAAAUUGGAGGCAAUGCUACUUGCGCUGACCUCAACCAAAAUCCGACCGUUUAUCCCCUACCCAGUUGAAAAUUUCCUCCAUACCUGCCCAACAAACCUCAAAUUCUCCCUUAAUGCUCCUCCAAAUUCUCUCCGAAGCUUUCCAGUAGCAGCCAAGUCUAAACAGACCCACCUUUCCAAUCCCCAUAAUAAGACUCAGGACAAUGGCAUCCCAAUCGAAGACCUCAAAUUCAUUGCCAAAUUCAAGUCCAGAUACAACUACAUUCGCGUUCUCGAAGUCUCUCGUAAAGCCGACCACCCUCUUGCCGGUUCUAGACUCCUCCUUCUAGAUGCCCCGGGAAACAUCCACAGCAUUUCCUUUCGCUUCAAAUUACUCACUGAUACCUAUUUCGACGUUUUCGCCACUUUGCCUCCCAUUUUGCCCCCUGGACCUGUGGCCGUUCUCGGAUUCGGGGCGGGUUCUGCAGCCCGUUUAAUACUAGAGUUGUAUCCAGACGUGGCUGUUCACGGAUGGGAGCUUGACCCAUCUGUGAUUGCAGUGGGCAGAGAGUAUUUUGGCCUUGAAAAGCUCGAAAAGCAGCACCCGGAUAGGCUUUUUAUUUAUAUUGGAAAUGCAUUGACGUUAAAAUCUAAUGUUAAGGACGGGCUUUCGGGCAUUCUCGUUGAUCUGUUUAGCAAGGGUAGUGUGAUCCCCGAGCUUCAAGAUCCAAACACUUGGGAGGAGUUAAUCAGGUGUUUGAGGAAAGGAGGGAGAAUCAUGGUGAACGUUGGUGGUCGUUGUGUGGAGGCGGAGGAUAAGAGAAGGGAUGGCGAUGUGGUUAUGGAGGAUACUUUGAAG
Molecule: unclassified non-coding RNA, 869 nt
Filed under: Hevea brasiliensis (rubber tree)
Lineage: Eukaryota; Viridiplantae; Streptophyta; Magnoliopsida; Malpighiales; Euphorbiaceae
Source: RNAcentral